Molecule: long non-coding RNA, 214 nt
Filed under: Lathyrus oleraceus (garden pea)
Lineage: Eukaryota; Viridiplantae; Streptophyta; Magnoliopsida; Fabales; Fabaceae
Description: Pisum sativum (pea) long non-coding RNA (PSAT_LNC010866)
Source: RNAcentral
AACCCUAGACAGUCAACAGUCAGUCAAAGCAGUGGAUGGUGGCCAUUCUUGUGGAAUUUGGACACCAUGCUCAUUAAUCAAGAGUUCAUAUGUCUUGGUACAUCAUUUGAAGUCAAGUUCUCAAGGAAUUAGGGUUUGGAAUUCAUCAGAAGAGGUUCAGUCAGCCAGAAACCCUAAAAGUCAACUGUUGGUCAACUGUCCAUUUAAUCAGUGN